This is a long non-coding RNA of Ostrea edulis (European flat oyster), 1143 nucleotides long. RefSeq lists it as uncharacterized. The transcript is spliced from 6 exons. NCBI's taxonomy places the organism in Eukaryota, Metazoa, Mollusca, Bivalvia, Ostreida, Ostreidae. The record is from RefSeq and is a predicted model, not a curated record.
UCGGACGUAUCAUAACACAGCAAUGUCUGUAUGUCUGUUUGUAGAUGGGACGUAUUAUGGUACAGCAAUGUCUGUAUGUCUGUCUAUAGAUGGGAUACAUUAUGGUAUAUCACUGUAGGUGGGACGUAUUAUGGUACAGCAAUGUCUGUAUGUCUGUUUGUAGAUGGGACGUAUUAUGGUAUAUCACUGUAGGUGGGACGUAUUAUGGUACAGCGAUGCAUGUAUAUCUGUCUUAAGAUGGGAUGCAUUGUCCACCAUCUGAAUGCUUUGUCAUGAUGUAUGAAAUGCCCUCUAAUUUCAGGAAUUUUAGGGUCCUAGGGGGCUGAAUUAAGGUUCCAUUCCCAUGCUAAAAAAGCAGCUCCCUGGUCCUCAUGAGAUGUUGACACCCUGCAGUAGGAGCAGUUCCUGCCGGUAUCUCUUAAAAGCAGACAGAGGUUUUCUUAGCAUCUGCUCCAUUUCUGGAGACAAACUUUACUCCCUGGUCCUCAUGAGAUGUUGACACUCUGCAGUAGGAGCAGUUCCUACCGGUAUCUCUUAAAAGCAGACAGAGGUUUUCUUAGCAUCUGAUUCAUUUUGGAGACAAACUUUUGUAUGGAGCUGGGUAGCAGUUACUUAAGAUGUCCAACUGAUUGACGAGGAUAAUUCCCUGAGACUCUAACAUUCUGUAGGACUUGGAUAGCUCUAUUGCGAUAGAAAAUGUCAGGACGGUGGAGAUUUAGAUAAGUGGUGUGAUGUUAUUGAUGGUCAACAGAAGACUGUGACCUUGAAUCUGAAGAUCUGUGAUGAAGACUGGACGUUUGGGGUCACUCUCUGUUACAGUACUACAAAUCUAACAGUGUCAAACUCAGCCACAAAGAGGUUGUCUCUGAUGUCCACACAUAAACCCCAUGGAAACAUUAAAUCACAGUGAAUGUAACGGAGGAACUGUCCGUCCUGAUCUAGGAUGUGGAUACGGUUAUUGUCCCAGUUUGCUGUCAGGAUGUGACUCUGGCUGUCUGUAGUGAUGCCGCGUGGAUUAAAUGAUUGCUUGGUAUUAGAGGGAUGACCAGUGUAUCUAAAUCGGAGUUUUCCUGACUGAUUGACCACCACUACUGCUCUAGCUCCAUUGUCAGCCACACAGAUAUCCAGGUUCUUGUUCUCACU